CUGAAUGAAACUCACCCUCCUCUAGAGUUGAUGAACAUUCGCCCAGUUUCCCUGAGAGGCCAGCUGGUGCUAAGGUGGAGCUCUGGGGACUGGAGAGGAGGAGGAGUCAGAGUCUGCUUCCUUGAGAAGGCCAGAAGUCAGAGAAGAAAACUUAGCCAGCAAGCACAGAUCUGAAUGAAGCUCGUAUACAAGAAA
RNAcentral lists this long non-coding RNA (195 nucleotides) under Mus spicilegus (steppe mouse). Its description in RNAcentral is "lncRNA (ENSMSIG00000012282.1)". Lineage: Eukaryota; Metazoa; Chordata; Mammalia; Rodentia; Muridae. The record is from RNAcentral.